AGGCAAGACGGAGCUAACCUGGGGAAGUGAAACAUCUCAGUACCCAGAGGAAAAGAAAUCAAGACAGAGACUCCCUUAGUAGCGGCGAGCGAACGGGGACCAGGCCAAACCCAGGGGUAGAGAUACUCGUGGGGGUUGUAGGGCCCAUGACAUGGCACGAGCAACACGAGACGAACAGGCAUGGAAAGGCCGGCCAGAGCGGGUGACAGCCCCGUAGUCGUAGUGGCGCGAAGCCUAGUGGGUACCUGAGUACCGCGGGACACGUGAAAUCCUGUGGGAAUCCGGCGGGACCAUCCGCCAAGCCUAAGUACUCCUCAUCGACCGAUAGUGAACAAGUACCGUGAGGGAAAGGUGAAAAGCACCCCGAGAGGGGAGUGAAAAUAGAACCUGAAACCGUGUGCCUACAAGCACUGAGAGCACGACGCCGUAAGGCCGUGUGAUCGGGUACCUUUUGCAUAAUGGCCCUACGAGUUACGUUUCGUGGCGAGGUUAAGCCGUAAGGUGGAGCCGGAGGGAAACCAAGUCCGAAUAGGGCGAAAGUCGCGGGGCGUAGACCCGAAGCCCGC
RNAcentral lists this ribosomal RNA (566 nucleotides) under uncultured bacterium. Its description in RNAcentral is "bacterial LSU rRNA". It matches the Rfam family "Bacterial large subunit ribosomal RNA", at positions 167 to 725 of the family's 2925-position model. The record is from RNAcentral.